RNAcentral lists this long non-coding RNA (2023 nucleotides) under Olea europaea subsp. europaea. The record is from RNAcentral. Lineage: Eukaryota; Viridiplantae; Streptophyta; Magnoliopsida; Lamiales; Oleaceae.
CCUUUUUCAUUCACAGUUUUCUCGGAUUCAUUCAUCUUCCCAGCCUCAAUUUUCUCUCUCAUCACACAUACCCAUUUCUCAUUCCCAAAUUCUGCACUGAUUUUUUGUUCUUUCAUCUCUUUUUUGAAUUUGGGUUCUGGGUUUUUCUUUUCAACAAUACAUGUAAAAAUUGUGUAUAAUGGGUCAGCAAACAUUGAUCUAUAGCGUUGUUGCAAGGGGAACCGUUAUAUUACCCUAGUACACAAAAUUUCACCAGCAUAGCAUCGCAAUUGAUGAAGAAACUGCCUGCAUCAAAGAACAAAUUUACUUACAAUUGCGAUGACCACACCUUCAAUUCCCUUUUGGAAAUGGAUUCAGUAUGUACCCACAAUGUCCUUUCUUUACCUUUGAUUUUGUGAAAUUUAAUUUUUAUAUCAUUUUUUGUUUGUCUUAUGCCCAUUUUGAUUUAAUUUUAACUUGAUUUCAUGUAUCUUAUUUUCCUUUUGUCUUAUGUUAUUAUGCGUUUAUUAUGUAGAACUGGAAAUGAUUAUGAAAAAAUUCAAGUGUAGUAAAGAAAGAUGUAUGUAUAUGGAAUAGGUUUCAUUAGUGUGGCAUAUGAAUGUGUGAUUUUAUUUGAUAAUUGUAAUGUGUAUGCUUGGGUUUCAGAGCUCGAAAGUGAUGAAAUUUAUGCAAUCACUUGUGGAUUUAAUACGUAUGUGGUUGAAACGUGGAAUGAAACGCUCACGUUUGCUUUUAUCGAAACGGGCAAAUACAUAUAUGUUUGUGUGGGCGUCUUCAUCUUGUAUAUCAGUGGAUUGAGUAAUGAUUUAAAGAAGUUGAGAAAUUUUAAUGAAAUAAUAGAGUUCUGUCUAUAAUUCAUUUCUUUUUCAAAUUUUGCAGGCACCUAGCACCUUCUAGUGUCAUUUGAGAUGAAUUGUUUAUUUGAGCCAUACUGAAGUACUCGAAUCGAUCUGUACUUCGGUUGUUUUCUCAUUACAUGAAUUCUUAUGGUUGAAAUGGUAUUGACAUUCUUUUUCUUUCUGUUUUUUUUCUCAAUCGUUUUUGUUUUAAUCAAUUUGGUUGGAGAGUAGUCAACUUUUAUUCUUGUGACAAUAAAACAAGAAAGUAUAGAUUUUACGUUUGAUUGACUGCAUUGUCCUGAUGUGUUAUUUCUCAAAAGCGAAGAAUUUAGACCUAAAAUGAAGAAUGUUAUGUUGAUUCAUUUCUAGAUCGAAUAUAUAGAUUUAUUUUCAUAAGCUUCUGAUAGGAACCCGAUUUGUAUUGUAUUGUUGUAUUUAUAUAUUGCUUGGCAUGUAGCCUUUCCCUUAAAUUUCUCAGUUUAGUUUCCUAACAAACUACUAAUUAUGUAAAUAAAUCUUGAUGUUGUGCAGCAGAGCUACACAUAUCAGGGCCUAUCAGCUCCAUAGAGCGCUUGACAUACCAUUGUAUAUUGUGGUAUGUCGUUGGCAUCUUAAGAAGAGAAGUCGCAUUAUUUCCAUUUCAAAUCUUUAUUUAUUUAAAUUGUACAGAAGGGUUAACUAAGAUGAAUAAAAUUGCAGAAUUUUUGUUUUUUUAUUGUUUUUGAAGUCCAUAAUUCUUGUCAUUUAGAUGGCAUCUAAUCUAAGAUUUAUAUAACUUGGAUAUUUAAGCAUUUUUCUUCGCGUAAUUGCUUUUUCACCAUUUAUAAGUCACUUUUCAGUUUUUGUGGGCUUUGCCAAACACUGUGUUAUUGUAGGCCAAAUUUGAAAGAGCAUAUGUAGUACUGCAUUGAUCAUCCCGAAGAAAUUAAGGCCCUGUUCUCUUUACCGUUUUCGGGCCGUUUUCUGUUUUCAAUUUUUCAAAACGGUGAAAACGUGUUCUCUUUCCCGUUUUCGAAAACGAAUUUUCGAAAACGAAAAAAAAAUUUGUGAAGAAAACACAAAACGACUUUUUUGUCGUUUUGGGCGUUUUCAGUGUAAAACUUGAAAAAACUGAAAACGCGGGAAACACCCUUUUUUUUUUUUUUUCGGAGGUGGUAUGGUGAUUCUCAAAAUUUCAAAAAAAA